ACCUGACUGCUAUCGGAUUGAUACUAAGCCAUGUGAGUCAUCGCAGCAAUGCAAGGCAGACGGCUCAGUAACACGUAGUCAACCUACCCUAUAGACGGGGAUAACCUCGGGAAACUGAGGAUAAACCCCGAUAGAUCAUUAUGCCUGGAACGGUUUAUGGUCCAAAUGAUUCGUCGCUAUAGGAUGGGACUGCGGCCUAUCAGCUUGUUGGUGAGGUAAUGGCCCACCAAGGCUAUUACAGGUACGGGCUCUGAGAGGAGAGGCCCGGAGAUGGGUACUGAGACACGGACCCAGGUCCUAUGGGGCGCAGCAGGCGAGAAAACUUUGCAAUGUGCGCAAGCACGACAAGGUUAAUCCGAGUGAUUCCUGCUAAAGGAAUCUUUUGUUAGUUGUAAAACCACUGAUGAAUAAGGGGUGGGCAAGUUCUGGUGUCAGCCGCCGCGGUAAAACCAGCACCUCAAGUGGUCAGGAGGAUUAUUGGGCCUAAAGCAUCCGUAGCCUGCUUUGUAAGUUUUCGGUUAAAUCCAUCAGCUCAACUGAUGGGCCGCCGAAAAAACUGCAAAGCUAGGGAGUGGGAGAGGUAGACGGUACUCGAUAGGAAGGGGUAAAAUCCUUUGAUCUAUUGAUGACCCCCUGUGGCGAAGGCGGUCUACCAGAAUACGUUCGACGGUGAGGGAUGAAAGCUGGGGGAGCAAACCGGAUUAGAUACCCGGGUAGUCCCAGCUGUAAACGAUGCAGACUCGGUGAUGCCCUGGCUUGUGGCCAGUGCAGUGCCGCAGGGAAGCCGUUAAGUUUGCCGCCUGGGAAGUACGUACGCAAGUAUGAAACUUAA
This 832-nucleotide ribosomal RNA is filed under the name uncultured crenarchaeote. RNAcentral's name for it is "bacterial SSU rRNA". It matches the Rfam family "Archaeal small subunit ribosomal RNA", at positions 21 to 859 of the family's 1478-position model. Lineage: Archaea; Thermoproteati; Thermoproteota. The record is from RNAcentral.